GAUGAACGCUGGCGGCGUGCCUAAUACAUGCAAGUCGAGCGAACAGACGAGGAGCUUGCUCCUCUGACGUUAGCGGCGGACGGGUGAGUAACACGUGGAUAACCUACCUAUAAGACUGGGAUAACUUCGGGAAACCGGAGCUAAUACCGGAUAACAUAUUGAACCGCAUGGUUCAAUAGUGAAGGACGGUUUUGCUGUCACUUAUAGAUGGAUCCGCGCCGCAUUAGCUAGUUGGUAAGGUAACGGCUUACCAAGGCAACGAUGCGUAGCCGACCUGAGAGGGUGAUCGGCCACACUGGAACUGAGACACGGUCCAGACUCCUACGGGAGGCAGCAGUAGGGAAUCUUCCGCAAUGGGCGAAAGCUUGACGGAGCAACGCCGCGUGAGUGAUGAAGGUCUUCGGAUCGUAAAACUCUGUUAUUAGGGAAGAACAAAUGUGUAAGUAACUAUGCACGUCUUGACGGUACCUAAUCAGAAAGCCACGGCUAACUACGUG
This 497-nucleotide ribosomal RNA is filed under the name uncultured bacterium. Its description in RNAcentral is "partial 16S ribosomal RNA". It matches the Rfam family "Bacterial small subunit ribosomal RNA", at positions 28 to 507 of the family's 1533-position model. The record is from RNAcentral.